Equus quagga is the source of this 3046-nucleotide long non-coding RNA. RefSeq lists it as uncharacterized. The transcript is spliced from 3 exons. The record is from RefSeq and is a predicted model, not a curated record. NCBI's taxonomy places the organism in Eukaryota, Metazoa, Chordata, Mammalia, Perissodactyla, Equidae.
CGGCGCCCCAGGCGGCGGCCCAGCUGCCCCGCCGCAGCCACCUGCUCGCGCACCCCCGGCCCGGAUCGAUACCAAAUAGCCGGCGCCCGGAAAUGGACCCGGGCCGGCCAGUACGGAGGGAGAGAGGAGACAGAAAGUCCAUUGUCUCUGUUUCUCUGUCAUGCUCCGCCCUGGAAGGCUGACAUGAAUACAUCACCAGGCUUCCUUGCCCUGUAGCUUCCUGGAAGGCUGACAUGAAUACAUCACCAGGCUUCCUUGCCCUGUAGCUUCCUGUUGAGUUGGACCAGUACAAAGCAUUGGCAGAAAAUCAAAAGGAGGGAGAAAGGAAAUAUCAGGCUAAAGACUACUAAAAACAAUUACGUAUGGAGAGAGGUCUUAAUUAAAAGGAGAUCUUCAACCUGGAAGAGAUUGGAAUCCACUCUUAAAGGAUGAGCCACACAGCCAGGUUUUCUGCAUGAGACACAUAAUUUAGGAAACUUCUUUUCUACAUGUUAUUUUUCCUAUGAAACCUGUAACUAGAAGGGCAGGGCUAUAAAUUCAAAUUGGGAGAAGGAAAAAGAAUGAAUUUUUGCAGCUCAAGCUGUCAGCAAUGUGAUAAUCUUAGAAGAGUCUUGGGUAAACACAUCUAGGGAAUCCCUGUCCUAUAACACAUUUGUGAGAUUUCUCAAUAUUUUGCUUGGCUCUCUGUGGAGAAUGCUGGAAGUCUGAAAGGCAUUCAGUGCUAGAGAGAGCUGUACUGAAAGUAUAAAAGUAUAAAUGAGAAGUAUACACAUUGAGUACAGUGGCUGCCUCUGAGUGGGAGGGACAGUAAGACAGAAUGUGGGAAAAUGUGUCAUAGAUUACAUUUGCAGAAAUGACCACAACAUCGGUUCCUAUCACAUGUGGCCUCCUGCAAUAUGACAUUGUGACCCUUCAUCAAAAUGGAGGCAUUAAGAAUGUUAGGCAACUUCUGUUUUUAUGCUCUGAAAGAAGUCAGUUGCUUUGAAGGAUAUCUGACUAUCCUAAUAUUUCUAUGUUGUGAGAAGCUCAACUUGCCAUGUGGAGAGGCUAUGUGGAAGGGAACCAAUACCCCCAGGCAACAUCCCCAGUGGAGCUCCCAGUUGACAACUAACACCAAGAUGAUUGCCAAGCAUUUUGGAAAUGGAUCUUCAAAAGCCAAUUGAGACAUUCCAAGUGAAUCCAUGUGGGAAAGAAAUAAGCUGUCCUUGCCCAAUUUGUGGAAUAGUAAACAAAUAAGUGAAUGUUAUUGUUUAAAUCUAAUAAGCUAUAGAGUGGUAUAUUAUGCAGCAAUAGAUAACCGAAAGAGUAUGUUUUAACUAAAUCUGUAAAGUUUCGAUUCUUUGAGAAAAGAUCACAUAGUGGAGACAAAUAUGGGAAAAUACUGACCACGAAUCUGAAUGUGAUGCAUUGGUGACUAUUACAUUUUCUAGUUUUUUCCUUUACAUAGGAAAUAUUACAUAUUUCAUAAUUCAAAAUUUAAAAACGUAUUUAGACUUGCUCUUCUGGCUAGGAUAGAGUAAAUAGUUCCAAAGGUGUCCUCCCUCCAUAAACAAUGAUAAAGCUGGAGAAAUAGGUGGCAAUUGUUUUCAAGUACAGGGCAUUAGGUAGAAUGAUCCCUGAGAGAAGAUGACUGCAUGAAGUGAGCCUCUCAUGCCCUUGCCAAUGCUGGAGAUUGGUACAAUUGUCCAACUUUUAUACAGGGAGUGGGGUCCAAGCAGAGUCUCUCUGGGGAGGUAGUGCUGCUGACACAAUCAGAACUUGUAGGGUAGGGUACUGAAGAAGAGGAUGCUGCACACAGGAGUUCCCAAGUCCUUGGUCAAAGGCUGAGUUGUGUAUACUCAAGAUGAAACACUAUGAGGCCUAACAGAGAGCAGCAUCCACAAAGAAGAUAACGGAAUAGUGAUUCUAGAGGUCACUGGUUGUUGGGAAAAGUUAGAUCAAAGACCUACUUAGAGUGAAGAGAUCUCAUCAGCACACCUGGCAUUCAGAUAAGAUAGUGAAGAGGCCAUAAAUUAUAUGGACAGCCUACUUGCAAAGGCUGUUCUGGAGCUAACCUAUCAAAGCCUAAAACCAAGCUUUGACAGAAGGAAGAAGAGCUUCUAGGAAAUAGCUAUGUGCCAGCUCAAAACUCAGCAAUCAUUAAAAAAAAGGGCAAUCUAAUCCAGACUCUUUACAAUGUAUCUUUCACAACGUCCACUAAAAGUUACUAGAUGUACAAAGUAGUAGGAAAAUGUGGUGAAUAAUCAAGAAAAAAGCAAUCGGUUAACACAGAUGCCAAGAUGACCCAGAUGUUGGAAUUAGCAGGCAAGGAUAUAAAGAGGCUAUUACUAUCAGUUAUUAUAAAUAUUUUUAAGGACUUAAAGCAAAAUAUAUGGUUAUAAAGAAUGAACAGCUGGGGAAUCUAUUAGAGAAUAGAAACUAUACAAAAAUCAGUGAACAGAUAUAGAGUUUUAGCAGAUAAAAAGUAAGAAACAAGUGGAAAUUCUAGAAGCAAAAAGGAUAAUAUCUAAAGUGAAAAAAAUCACUGGAUGGGCUUGGUAGUAGUAUGGAGAUGGUAGAAUAAAGACUCUGUGAAUUUGAGAACAGAUCAAUAGAAGUUACUUAAUCUGAAAAAACAGAAAAUUGUUUUUUUAAAAUAAGUCUCAGGUAACAGUGGUGUAAUAUCAUACUGUUUGUAAUUCAGUACUUAAAGAUCCAGAGAGGAGAAAGAGAGAAUGAGGCAGAAAAAAUUAUUGAGAGAAUAACAGUUGAAAGUUUCCCAGAUUUCAUUUCAAAAUAUCAAUCUACGGGUCCAAGAAGCUCAGGAAACCCCAAAAAAGAGAGAUAUAAAGAAAAAGCAUCUGGGCCAUUCUAGCCCAAAAACUAACAACCACAGAUGAAGAGAAAAUCUUCAAAGCAGCCAAAGAAAAAUGGCACAUUACAUACAAGGGAAUGAUUAUGUAAAUAAUGACUGUCUUCUAAUUAUAAACAAUACGGGCCAGAAAAUAAUAAAAUUACAACUUUAAAGUGAUAACAACAACAAAUACCUGUCAAAUCAGUGUUCAUG